Molecule: ribosomal RNA, 491 nt
Filed under: uncultured bacterium
Lineage: Bacteria
Description: partial 16S ribosomal RNA
Rfam family: Bacterial small subunit ribosomal RNA
Source: RNAcentral
AGUGAACGCUGGCGGUAGGCCUAACACAUGCAAGUCGAACGGCAGCACAGUAAGAGCUUGCUCUUACGGGUGGCGAGUGGCGGACGGGUGAGGAAUACAUCGGAAUCUACUUUUUCGUGGGGGAUAACGUAGGGAAACUUACGCUAAUACCGCAUACGACCUACGGGUGAAAGCAGGGGAUCUUCGCACCUUGCGCGAUUGAAUGAGCCGAUGUCGGAUUAGCUAGUUGGCGGGGUAAAGGCCCACCAAGGCGACGAUCCGUAGCUGGUCUGAGAGGAUGAUCAGCAACACUGGAACUGAGACACGGUCCAGACUCCUACGGGAGGCAGCAGUGGGGAAUAUUGGACAAUGGGCGCAAGCCUGAUCCAGCAUACCGCGUGGGUGAAGAAGGCCUUCGGGUUGUAAAGCCCUUUUGUUGGGAAAGAAAAGCAGCAGGUUAAUACCCCGCUGUUCUGACGGUACCCAAAGAAUAAGCACCGGCUAACUUCGUG